GGAUAGAUACCCUAUUAUUUUAAAGGUAGUUAGAGAUUAGUAUAUUUUUGAAAAUUAAUAAUUUUUGGCGGUUAAGAUUUUAAUCUAGAGGAGCUUGUGAUGUUUUAAAUGGAUUUGACUCAAUAUAUUUUGCUAAUUUUUAUGUUUAUUCAUCUCCGUUAUCAGAUUUAAAUUGAAAAAAAUAAAUUUUAGAAUUUCAGGUCAAGAUGUAGCUUGAAUUAGAAAUUGAUUAGCUACAUUAAUAUAAUUUGUUGGAGUUAGAAGUUUAAAAUAAAAAUGAAAUUGAAUUUAGUUGUAAUAUAAAUUAGGAAAUUUUUUAGUAAGUUUAUAAUUUAAUGUACAUAUCGCC
RNAcentral lists this ribosomal RNA (349 nucleotides) under Acrogonyleptes rhinoceros. RNAcentral's name for it is "partial small subunit ribosomal RNA". The record is from RNAcentral. Lineage: Eukaryota; Metazoa; Arthropoda; Arachnida; Opiliones; Gonyleptidae.